UCCGCCGCAGCCUCUGACAUGCAUUCCUAAGUGUAUGACUCUAUAGUUUAUAAAUGCAGCAUUCCUUGUGGAGGGGAGGGAGGAUAAUUACAACUGGGACACGUUGAGCUAGCCUGGGUAAAGGAGAAGGCGGUGUCACUUGUCUCUUACCAUGCAAUGAAUGGAAUAGAAUCGAUGCCAGAUGUUGAGACUUGUGAGGUAGAUCGACAAUGCACAGGAAACUCGUGUUGUGCUGUCAGUUUGUGGCUUUCAAAUCUAUGGACGUGCACGCCAUUGGGAAAUCAUGGGGAUCAGUGCCAUCCACUGAGUCACAGAGUACCAUUCUCUGGGAAACGAAAGCACAACACCUGCCCUUGUCUGUCAAAUCUAGUCUGUAGGAGAACUGCAGAAAGGCAAUACAAAUGUUUAUAACCAGCCCAAAUUUGAUAAGUAUUUUAUGAGAAAGCAGCCUUGUUAAUCAGAUUUGCAUACACUAUUCUACUUACCAAUAGCAAAUAUACCAGAAAUCCAGAUUGUCUAUUUUUAUCACAUUCACAAGUAUGAUAUUAGAGUCAUUGAGGCAAAUGGCACACAAACAGGCUCUUUGGCCAGUCACAUUCAAGCCAAUGUUUUGAAUACAUACACUAAUUCCAUUUGACCACAUCAGAACCAUAUCCUAUACUUUGUAGUUAGUCCUGACGAAGGGUCUCUGCCUGAAACGUCGACUGUACCUCUUCCUAGAGAUGCUGCCUGGCCUGCUGCGUUCACCAGCAACUUUGAUGUGUGUUGCUCCCAUACUUUGCCGUUUUAAAGUUCUGGCUAAAUACCUCAUAAUAUAGUCAUUGUAUUGGAUUCCACUACCACCUAUGCCAAUGUUUCCGGACAUCAAUCACUCGAUGAAUUUAAAACAAGCUUGCCAAUUACAUCCCUGUAAAAUGUCCUUCUCUCCUAUGCCCUAUUAAACCUAUGGCCACUUUGCUUUGAUACGCUGAGCCUGGAAAAAAGAUUUUGACUAAUGCCUUACUAAGUGUCAUUAGAUCACCCAUCAGCUUCCUUUUGCUUCUUAUUCAAGCUUAUUGUUCGUAUUUAGAUCACAGUAUAUUACAAUGUUACACACUUGCUUGGUACAAUUUAAACAUCUGUAAACAGAGUUUGCUGUUAUAAAUGUCGAUAUUUCUGUUUCAAUGAUUAGAAAUUUUCCCUUUGUUUAUCAAAUAAAUGAUCAGGUGUAAUUCAAAAGCAUAACUUGUUUUGGAUUCAUAGUGGAGGGUUGAUAACACAACAUUAUGGAACUAAACAUGGGAAAGAUCUCAUCUUCAUGAUUAGCAACUACCAUUGAAAUUGCAAUUGUGAUUGAGGUAAUGAAAAUAAAACAAAAAGAAUGUGUAACUUAAACAACAGGAAUUCUGCAGAUGCUGGAAAUUCAAGCAACACACAUCAAAGUUGCCGGUGAACGCAGCAGGCCAGGCAGCAUCUCUAGGAAGAGGUACAGUCCACGUUUCAGGCCAUUUCUCGGCCUGAAACAUCGACUGUACCUCUUCCUAGAGAUGCUGCCUGGCCUGCUGAGAAUGUGUAACUUGAUGUUUGCCACAAAAUCAAUGGGAUGAAAAAAAAUUAUUGAGUAGGUGAAAAUGCAAUGUUGUGGUUUGUAUUAUCUAUUUUAUGUCCAGGACAAUUUAGCAGAUCAAGCCCCCACAGAACUCAAAGCAGUAAAUGAUUCAGUGACACUUUUGAAGAUAUUUUCAGCGAUUUUAUAUCAAAUUACUGAUAAUUGCUUAUUAAAAAUGCUUAUUUUUGUGCUAAACCUGGUUUAUUUGUUUGAGUAAUUCUACACAAAGCUACACUUAAAAACAUUCUAUUCUAGAGUUCUGCUGUGCUGGUUCAUGUAAUUAACACUAUGCAACUGAUUUUUAUUGGAAACUAAAACCUAUCUAGUCAAAGUUCAAGCAUAUUUUGGUUGCAAUUUUCAAAGAUGAAAUUCUACCUUCACUAUCAUUCUACUUCCCCAAGAAAGGACAGAGGGGACAGAAUGUUAUACCUUAUACCAGCUGGUCGCAGAAUGUUACUGGGAAGGAUUCUGACAGCAAUUUAACCCAUUGGUUUACGGAGAGGAAAAAAUUCAAAACAUACUCAAUAUCAGGAGGAACAAUUCAGAAUCACCUUUUAAACAUAAUUUGCUAUGUGCUAAUAAGUGAUAUAACUGCAAAAUCAUUUUGUCUAUUUAC
Long non-coding RNA from Mobula hypostoma (lesser devil ray), 2204 nucleotides. RefSeq lists it as uncharacterized. The transcript has 3 exons. The record is from RefSeq and is a predicted model, not a curated record. NCBI's taxonomy places the organism in Eukaryota, Metazoa, Chordata, Chondrichthyes, Myliobatiformes, Myliobatidae.